AUUGAACGCUGGCGGAAUGCUUUACACAUGCAAGUCGAACGGCAGCACGGACUUCGGUCUGGUGGCGAGUGGCGAACGGGUGAGUAAUGUAUCGGAACGUGCCCAGUCGUGGGGGAUAACGUAGUGAAAAUUACGCUAAUACCGCAUACGAUCUAUGGAUGAAAGCGGGGGAUCGCAAGACCUCGCGCGAUUGGAGCGGCCGAUAUCAGAUUAGGUAGUUGGUGGGGUAAAGGCCCACCAAGCCAACGAUCUGGAGCUGGUCUGAGAGGACGACCAGCCACACUGGAACUGGGACACGGUCCAGACUACUACGGGAGGCAGCAGUGGGGAAUUUUGGACAAUGGGCGAAAGCCUGAUCCAGCCAUUCCGCGUGCAGGAUGAAGGCCCUCGGGUUGUAAACUGCUUUUGUACAGAACGAAAAGGUUUCUACUAAUACUAGGAGCUCAUGACGGUACUGUAAGAAUAAGCACCGGCUAACUACGUGCCAGCCGCCGCCGUAA
Molecule: ribosomal RNA, 500 nt
Filed under: uncultured bacterium
Lineage: Bacteria
Description: partial 16S ribosomal RNA
Rfam family: Bacterial small subunit ribosomal RNA
Source: RNAcentral